AGAAGGAAACUUCUGCUAAUCCCGGAUGAGCCCUUGGGUAAAAGAUUAAUUGCCUGAAGAUGAGCUCGCGUCUGAUUAGCUAGUUGGUGUGGUAAAGGCAUACCAAGGCAACGAUCAGUAGCUGGUCUGAGAGGAUGAGCAGCCACACUGGGACUGAGACACGGCCCAGACUCCUACGGGAGGCAGCAGUGGGGAAUUUUCCGCAAUGGGCGAAAGCCUGACGGAGCAAGACCGCGUGGGGGAGGAAGGCUCUAGGGUUGUAAACCCCUUUUCUUUGGGAAGAAGUUCUGACGGUACCAAAGGAAUCAGCCUCGGCUAACUCCGUGCCAGCAGCCGCGGUAAUACGGAGGAGGCAAGCGUUAUCCGGAAUGAUUGGGCGUAAAGCGUCCGCAGGUGGCAAUGUAAGUCUGCUGUCAAAACCCAGGGCUCAACUCUGGUCAGGCAGUGGAAACUACGUAGCUAGAGUCUGGUAGGGGCAAGGGGAAUUCCCGGUGUAGCGGUGAAAUGCGUAGAGAUCGGGAAGAACAUCGGUGGCGAAAGCGCUUUGCUAGACCAGAACUGACACUCAGGGACGAAAGCUAGGGGAGCGAAUGGGAUUAGAUACCCCAGUAGUCA
This 615-nucleotide ribosomal RNA is filed under the name uncultured cyanobacterium. Its description in RNAcentral is "bacterial SSU rRNA". It matches the Rfam family "Bacterial small subunit ribosomal RNA", at positions 148 to 796 of the family's 1533-position model. Lineage: Bacteria; Bacillati; Cyanobacteriota. The record is from RNAcentral.